GGGGUUGUACUGGUUUCGACAGGGAUUUUGAAAUCCCGGCAGCCAUCCGUGGUUCGUGAUCCACGUUAAAAGUGCGAAAAAAAAUAAACGCAGAUUCUAGAGAAGAAUUAGCAUUCGCUGCUUAAUCGCAGCUGUCGGCCCGGGAAUCAUCCGCUGUUUCCGGAAUCCGGCAUCGAAUCAGGCGGAGAACGUUCCUCCCAAAGCUUUGAGGGUUGAAACGAAUUAUGAAGCUACCGGACUGUGGAGUCUGUCUUUGGACGACGCGGCGAGGGAAUCUUAAAACAAAGACUGUGAUGGGAGAUACCGGUAUGGAAGGGUCUUUGGACGCGGGUUCGAUUCCCGCCAGCUCCA
Molecule: transfer-messenger RNA, 351 nt
Filed under: uncultured Eubacterium sp.
Lineage: Bacteria; Bacillati; Bacillota; Clostridia; Eubacteriales; Eubacteriaceae
Rfam family: transfer-messenger RNA
About the family: Bacterial tmRNA, also known as 10Sa RNA or SsrA, is named for its dual tRNA and mRNA-like properties.
Source: RNAcentral